This 477-nucleotide ribosomal RNA is filed under the name uncultured bacterium. RNAcentral describes it as "partial 16S ribosomal RNA". It matches the Rfam family "Bacterial small subunit ribosomal RNA", at positions 29 to 507 of the family's 1533-position model. The record is from RNAcentral.
ACGAACGCUGGCGGCGUGCUUAACACAUGCCAGUCGAACGUGAUUUUUGUGGAAAUUCUUUCGGGAAUGGAAAUGAAAUGAAAGUGGCGAACGGGUGAGUAACACGUGAGCAACCUACCUUACACAGGGGGAUAGCCGUUGGAAACGACGAUUAAUACCGCAUGAGACCACAGAAUCGCAUGAUAUAGGGGUCAAAGAUUUAUCGGUGUAAGAAGGGCUCGCGUCUGAUUAGCUAGUUGGAAGGGUAAAGGCCUACCAAGGCGACGAUCAGUAGCCGGUCUGAGAGGAUGAACGGCCACAUUGGAACUGAGACACGGUCCAAACUCCUACGGGAGGCAGCAGUGGGGAAUAUUGCACAAUGGGGGGAACCCUGAUGCAGCGACGCCGCGUGAGCGAAGAAGGUUUUCGAAUCGUAAAGCUCUGUCCUAUGAGAAGAUAAUGACGGUAUCAUAGGAGGAAGCCCCGGCUAAAUACGUG